CCACGACUGAGGAACCUCUGGUGGAGGAGGGAGGAAAGCCAGAUGGAUUUGACAUGGAGAUCCCUGUUCCACUGGACACUGCCGCGGGUGAUACACUCCUGGACCUUCCACACAAGGAGAAGAAGCAGAAGAAAGGAGUCAGGCUCUUCUUUGCCCGAGUGUGGAAGGCCCUGAAACGCAGCUGCUGCUGCUGCUGCGUUUCCACAGAGACCGACUGAAAUUUCAAAUGUUUAAAUGUCUGUGUGU
Anguilla anguilla (European eel) is the source of this 246-nucleotide long non-coding RNA. RefSeq lists it as uncharacterized. NCBI's taxonomy places the organism in Eukaryota, Metazoa, Chordata, Actinopteri, Anguilliformes, Anguillidae. The transcript is spliced from 3 exons. The record is from RefSeq and is a predicted model, not a curated record.